This is a long non-coding RNA of Amphibalanus amphitrite, 236 nucleotides long. RefSeq lists it as uncharacterized. The record is from RefSeq and is a predicted model, not a curated record. Lineage: Eukaryota; Metazoa; Arthropoda; Thecostraca; Balanomorpha; Balanidae. The transcript has 3 exons.
CACCAGCACCGCCGGCCUCAGGACCAAGCCCACCACCAGCGGGCGUUGACGGAGGCGGGUGUGCGGCUCUGGCGCAGCUGAGCCGUCGACCGCCGGAGCCAAUCCGGCAGUCCGGCAUUUCAUCUGCCGCACACUCGCCCGUCACAGGAUCAGAGGCCUCCCGAGACAGGUGCAGCUGAGAAGGUAAAAGACACCUCACCGCUCCUCGGGUGGCGAGAGUCCAAUGUGAAAUUGGA